AUACGGAGGGGGUUAGCGUUGUUCGGAAUUACUGGGCGUAAAGCGCACGUAGGCGGAUUGGAAAGUUGGGGGUGAAAUCCCAGGGCUCAACCCUGGAACUGCCUCCAAAACUAACAGUCUAGAGUUCGAGAGAGGUGAGUGGAAUUCCAAGUGUAGAGGUGAAAUUCGUAGAUAUUUGGAGGAACACCAGUGGCGAAGGCGGCUCACUGGCUCGAUACUGACGCUGAGGCACGAAAGCGUGGGGAGCAAACAGGAUUAGAAACCCCGGUAGUCC
Molecule: ribosomal RNA, 274 nt
Filed under: uncultured bacterium
Lineage: Bacteria
Description: partial 16S ribosomal RNA
Rfam family: Bacterial small subunit ribosomal RNA
Source: RNAcentral